Molecule: unclassified non-coding RNA, 770 nt
Organism: Stylophora pistillata
Lineage: Eukaryota; Metazoa; Cnidaria; Anthozoa; Scleractinia; Pocilloporidae
Source: RefSeq, a predicted model, not a curated record
CGUGAUACCAACAAAAAGUUCUUUUCUUGCCUUCUCCCUAUUCAUCUCAACUCCUAGCUUUCUUCAUCUUUUAACAUUAAUUCUAACAUCUAUUGUAGGAGUAAUGUAGGAGUACGACAAAACCGCUCUGGGCAGUAGGUCGAUGUUUGUUUCACGGCUGGUUGAUUUGAGUUCCGGUGUUCAAAAGAAUCAGGAAUAUACUUUAACGAAGAUAAUAUAUAAACCUGCACUUGCUCUACAAUUAAUCAGCCGAGUUGUUGUCAGUGGAUGUACUCUGAAGAGAUCAAGAGUUGAAUAUGGAAGAUAAAAUGGGUCUUGGCAGAUGCAAAAGGUCUAUCAUCUUCGGUCAACCAUUUCAAGAUGAACCCCAGGCUGAUUCCCAGGUUGAUCGCGACAAAUCCGAAACCAGAAAAGAACAGAAAUGGUGCACCUUCGAAAACGACACCAAGUAUACAGUGAUGAUUACUGAUAAGGAUGGGACCCGACCCUUGAAACCUGGAAAAUCAACAACGAACGUCGGCAUCCCUGGCUUUGAGAUGAUUCUUGUCCUGAAGCUACCGAAGAAAGACGCGAAAUUAGAAUUUCCCUUGAGUGGAUUUAAUAACUCCAGGCAGAAAAUUAGUCAGAUCUUUGCACAUGAAAUUAAUCAGAAUUAACUCAAGCAGUGGUGAACUGUGGUCAGUGCGUGUAAAAAAAUAUUGCCAUGACUUCUUCAACUCAUGAAUCAAUAAAAGCAGAGUUUCUCAAUGGCAAAUAAUGCCAGAAUGGAA